AUUGAACGCUGGCGGCAGGCCUAACACAUGCACGUCGAACGAGUGGCGGACGGGUGAGUAAUGUCUGGGAGACUGCCCGAUGGAGGGGGAUAACUACUGGCAACGGUCGCUAAUACCGCAUACCAUCGGAUGUGCCCAGAUGGGAUUAGCUGGUAGGUGGGGUAACGGCUCACCUAGGCGACGAUCCCUAGCUGGUCUGAGAGGAUGACCAGGCACACUUGAACUGAGAAACGGUCCAAGAUCCACCGGGAGGCAGCAGGUGGGAAUAUUGAAACAUUGGAUCCAGCCCGAUGCAGCCAAGCCGCGUUGAAGAAGAAGGCCGUCGGGUUUUUAAGUAAUUUCAUCGAGGAGGCGUGACUCGCAGAAGAAGCACCGGCUAACUCCGUGCCAGCAGCCGCGGUAAGAC
RNAcentral lists this ribosomal RNA (406 nucleotides) under uncultured bacterium. RNAcentral's name for it is "partial 16S ribosomal RNA". It matches the Rfam family "Bacterial small subunit ribosomal RNA", at positions 30 to 526 of the family's 1533-position model. The record is from RNAcentral.